This 491-nucleotide ribosomal RNA is filed under the name uncultured bacterium. RNAcentral describes it as "partial 16S ribosomal RNA". It matches the Rfam family "Bacterial small subunit ribosomal RNA", at positions 28 to 507 of the family's 1533-position model. The record is from RNAcentral.
GAUGAACGCUGGCUACAGGCUUAACACAUGCAAGUCGAGGGGAAACGCCGGGGAAGCUUGCUUCCCCGGGCGUCGACCGGCGCACGGGUGAGUAACGCGUAUCCAACCUGCCUCUGACUGAGGGAUAACCCGUCGAAAGUCGGCCUAAUACCUCAUGGCAUCGUCUGCGGGCAUCCAACGACGAUUAAAGAUUUCAUCGGUCAGGGAUGGGGAUGCGUCUGAUUAGCUAGUUGGCGGGGUAACGGCCCACCAAGGCGACGAUCAGUAGGGGUUCUGAGAGGAAGGUCCCCCACAUUGGAACUGAGACACGGUCCAAACUCCUACGGGAGGCAGCAGUGAGGAAUAUUGGUCAAUGGGCGAGAGCCUGAACCAGCCAAGUAGCGUGCAGGAUGACGGCCCUAUGGGUUGUAAACUGCUUUUAUGCGGGGAUAAAGUGAGGGACGUGUCCUUCAUUGCAGGUACCGCAUGAAUAAGGACCGGCUAAUUCCGUG